AGAAACAAAGCGGGAAAGUACAAACAUACAAUUAACAUUAAGCAUGAGGAUGGUGGUAGGAGGAUAGUACUUGAGACAAAGCUACAGAUCCUGCAGGAUGAUGAAAUCAAUUCGAGAGAUGUGGAAUAUGGUAGUAUACUGUGAGAGGAAGGCUGUGCUAGGAUUGAUAAUUCUUCUAUCAAUCCUAGCAUUCAUCAUUGGAGUUCUCAUUGGACACUUCGGCUGGGGCAUCCAUCAACCAGUUAAUUAAAGAUCAAUCCUAGCAUUCAUUAUUGGAGUUCUCAUUGGACACUUCGGCUGGGCCAUCCAUCAACCAGUUAAUUAAAGAUCAAUCCUAGCAUUCAUCAUUGGAGUUCUCAUUGGACACUUCGGCUGGGGCAUCCAUCAACCAGUUAAUUAGAGAUCAAUCCUAGCAUUCAUUAUUGGAGUUCUCAUUGGACACUUCGGCUGGGGCAUCCAUCAACCAGUUAAUUAGAGAUCAAUCCUAACAUUCAUUAUUGGAGUUCUCAUUGGACAUUUCGAUAGGGGGAUUUAGCAACCAGUUGAUUAGAGAUCAAUCAAUCAAUCAACGAGUAUACAAGAGAUCUAUCAAUCAUUCAACUUGUAAACUAGAGAUCAAUCAAUCAAUCAAUUAGUAAACUAGAGAUCAAUCAAUCAAUCAGUAAACAAGAGAUCAAUCAAUCAAUCAGCCAGUAAACUAGAUAUCAAUUAAUCAACCAGUAAUCUAAAGAUCAAAUAACUAGUAAAAUAAAGAUCUAUUUCUCAAUCAAUCAAUCAACCAGUAAACUAGAGAGUAGAAAUCUAUCAACCAAUCAACUUGUAAACUAGAGAUCAAUCAAUCAACCAACCAGUAAUCUAAAGAUCAAGUAACUAGUGCAAUAAACAUCUAUCUCUCAAUCAAUCAAUCAACCAGUACACUAAAGAUCAAGUCAUCAACCUGUAAUCUAAAGAUCAAAUAACUAGUAUACUAAAGAUCUAUUCCUCAACCAAUCAACCAGUAAACUAGAGAUCAAUUAAUCAAGUAAUCAAUCAAUUAUUUAGUUUAUAAAUUUGUGAAUUUGAUCCUGAAAUUCAAAGUGAGACAGAAAAGUGAAAGCAUGGAUGACAUUGGUAGUUCAGUUCUCUGUAUUGACUGUUCAUGUUCCAGGACAUGGAUCAACAAACUUUAUUUAUUCAGGGCUCAAAGUGAAGACGUCCCCUAGGGCCCAUGAAUCAUGGGCCAUGAUGAGGAAUACCCCUUUUUAACUUGAUCCACUUUUCAAACAUUUAAUUAUUGUUUUUUUGUUAUGCUUUGGGUCCAGUAAACUCUGUCGAAUUUAACAUAUUUUAAAAUUAAAUUUUUCAAAAAUCUACUCUUAUUACAAUAUGAAAAAUAUUGACGAUGACAGUAAUCAUAGGUUUAAAGUUUGCUGACUUUUGUCGAUUUUAAUGAAGCCCUUAACCACAAAAUAAUUGUAUCAGUACUAAUCUGAUACAGGGGUUCAUUUUAUUCCCAAAAUAGCUGGUUUUGACCCAAACUAAAAAAAUGCCCCCAACUAAAACACAUUUUCAAAUUCCACUAACUCAUUUGCCCCCAAUUGGAAAAAAAUUCCGAAACUUAAAUAAUGUAAAAUUGUCGAAAUCAAAUUAGAAACUGUUUUGCAUACAACGCGAACCUUGUGCUAAAAUGCAGGCUAAUACGCCAAAGAGAACCCAAUUUUUUUUACUGAAUUAAUUGCUAUGGAUCGUUGCAGAGUUAAUAUUUAACAUCAGAUGAAAAUAAAGAUAAUAUUAGUAGAUUUAUUUUUUUAAAGAUUUAUCGCCAUGUAUUAAGUUUUAGGGAAAAAUUAAUUUUAAUUUUCUCUAGGAAUUUUUGUUCAUUCCCUAGUAACCCCCCCCUCAUCCUGAAAACUUUCUUUUUUUUACACUUUGAAAAAUAUUAUUUUUUUUUAAUUGUGAUACUUUUUUCAUCAAGAUAUAGUUGAAAUUCUUGCAUAUUUUCACCUAAAAAUGUGACUGUCGAAAAUUCACAAAGGUCGAUACAGAUUUUCUGCAGAAUUUCUUUAUUGUAGUCAAUUGUCAUAAUUACUUAUUUCGCAAGUUCAAGGUUGAAAAUUUCAAAUAUACUUGUUUUCUAUUUACAUCUAUUUUUAAACAAAUAAAACGAGACUUCAAUGACACAUAUGUGAUAACGUAAGAGAAUACAGCAUUAUAUAACAAGAUUGAAUUAAAUACAGUGUCCCAAAAAACA
Eurytemora carolleeae is the source of this 2230-nucleotide long non-coding RNA. RefSeq lists it as uncharacterized. The transcript has 3 exons. The record is from RefSeq and is a predicted model, not a curated record. NCBI's taxonomy places the organism in Eukaryota, Metazoa, Arthropoda, Copepoda, Calanoida, Temoridae.